This 449-nucleotide ribosomal RNA is filed under the name uncultured bacterium. Its description in RNAcentral is "partial 16S ribosomal RNA". It matches the Rfam family "Bacterial small subunit ribosomal RNA", at positions 29 to 523 of the family's 1533-position model. The record is from RNAcentral.
AACGAACGCUGGCGGCAUGCCUAACACAUGCAAGUCGAACGAGACCUUCGGGUCUAGUGGCGCACGGGUGCGUAACGCGUGGGAAUCUGCCCUCUGGUACGGAAUAACUCAGGGAAACUUGAGCUAAUACCGUAUAAUGACUUCGGUCCAAAGAUUUAUCGCCUGAGGAUGAGCCGGCGUCGGAUUAGCUAGUUGGUGAGGUAAAGGCUCACCAAGGCGACGAUCCGUAGCUGGUCUGAGAGGAUGAUCAGCCACACUGGGACCGAGACACGGCCCAGACUCCUGCGGGAGGCACCAGUGGGGAAUAUUGGACAAUGGGCGAAAGCCUGAUCCAGCAAUGCCGCGUGAGUGAUGAAGGCCUUAGGGUUGUAAAGCUCUUUUCCCCGGGAUGAUAAUGACAGUACCGGGAGAAUAAGCCCCGGCUAACUCCGUGCCAGCCGCCGCCGUAA